This is a long non-coding RNA of Nerophis ophidion (straightnose pipefish), 2110 nucleotides long. RefSeq lists it as uncharacterized. Lineage: Eukaryota; Metazoa; Chordata; Actinopteri; Syngnathiformes; Syngnathidae. The transcript has 2 exons. The record is from RefSeq and is a predicted model, not a curated record.
GCCUGUUUGAACUCCAGGCAGUUGACCAGCAUCAGCAGCUCUGCCUCCCACUGCCCUGUUGUUGUUGUGUUCCUGCCAGGUGGACACUCGUGGGUCAGUCCGCAGGGGUUAGCCUCCACGUGACGACCGGAAGGAAACGUGACGCUGAUUUGAAGCGCAUCCCGGAAGUUGUGACGUAAGAGGCACCUGGCUGAGAGCUUUUUGUGGGUUACGAAAGGAAAAAAGGGGAAGCCGGUGCAUAUCACCACCCCGGGACGGACGAGGACGCCACUAAAACUUACCGGCGCUUUGGUGGAAAAAGCCUCCGUUAAGUGGGCUCAUUUGAGCAGGAAAACGCUGAACACCAUCUGUGUUUUCUACCUGUCAACUGUCAGGUUAGCCCGCUCGCCGGCUCCUCAUCACCACUUCAAGAUGGCGGCCACAUUUCUGGCGUCACAGCAGCCAAUGCUGUGUCUACUUCUAGGAUGUCUAUGGGUGAAAGCAGCACAGCACUUGAACUUUGCCCAGGUUGACAGACAUAAUUAACCACCAAACGUUGAAAUGUAAUAUAUCUUCGUAAACAUGUGUUCAAAGAAAAAAAACAAGUGUUAACUUCUUGGUUUAAUCUCGCCGGCAUUUAUGAUUGGCUAGAAAGAGUCAAUAGGACUCACGAAGGUGGGACUUCUGUUAUUAUAUUUAAUACUCUAUCUGUAUUUGCUUUUACAACUAAAGCAGGGCUGUCAAACUCAAACACAGAGUGGGACAAAAUGUAAAAGUGAACAAAGCCGCGGGCCGAGGUUGAACAAAUGAACCUUUUAAUAGGAACCCCAACAAGUUUUGCAUUGAAUAUUGAACAAGCAAGGCUUAUAUAACUUUAUAGUGACAUGCAAAAUCCAGUUUCAAAUAAUAAUAAUAAUUUAAAAAUAUCAAUAGCAUAUCAAAUAAACAUUUAAUAAAAAUUGAAUGCCUCUUUUCGGCAAUGGGGUUGAGGUGGACGAGGUUUGGUGAUAGCGGAGGUGUAUAUUGUAGCAUCCCAGAAGUGUUAGUGCUGCAAGGCCUUCUGGGUAUUUGUUCUGUUGUGUUUAUGUUGUGUUACAAUGCGGAUGUUCUCUCAAAAUGUGUCAUUCUUGUUUGGUGUGGGUGCACAGUGUGGCGAAUAUUUGUAACAGUGUUAAAUAAAUAAUAAAUGAUAAAUGGGUUGUACUUGUAUAGCGCUUUUCUACCUUCAAGGUACUAAAGUUGUUUAUACAGCCACCCUCAGUGUGACCUAUAUGGCUGUUGACCAAGUUUGCAUGGUAUUCACUUGUGUGUGUGUGUGUGUAAGUCGCAUAUAUUAUGUGACUGGGCCGGCACGCUGUUUGUAUGGAGGAAAAGCGGACGUGGAGACAGGUUGUAGAGAACGCCAAAGGCAGUGCCUUUAAAGCCCACCCCAAAUAUUGUUGUCCCGGAUCAACUUCGGGAGUCUCCCAGGAAAAUCGGGAGUGUUGUCAAGUAUGAGUAUUAGCGGUGAAUGCGGCGUUAUAAUACCGGCGGGCCAGCUCUAAUGUUCUUUUGAUAUUGCCUCAAGGGCCAAGUGAAAUGACAGCCAUGAUCUAAACAUUAAAGCCGACAUGUAAUUAACAGUUUAACACGAAUGUUUAAGGGAAGAGAAACAAUUUUUUAAAAUAUUGCUCUACAACAUCCUGGUUUCGCCUCUUUGGCUCACGAGACAAUUACCGGUUAUUGUGAUUGGUUAAAAAAGAGCCAUUGGGAAGUAAGAAGGCGGGACUUCCGUUUUAUUACCUUUUCAUGUAAUGCAUUUGUUUUAUGAUAUAACAUACACAUUUUACAACUUUAGGAUCAUUUAAGAUAAAAAGAUGAAAUCAAGUCUUUAUUCACAUCUCACCUGACAAUCACCCUCUGUAACAGCUUGGUUGAUUCAUAAAUAUAGCGUGUUUACAAAAUAAUAUAUAGAAAAAGACACUUGCAUGUGAGGAAGUACUCUCAUAAUAUCACAGCUACUAGUCACAAAGUACUCCAGUCUUUCAUAACAAUAUCACAAGUCCAUCCAGUCAUCCUAGACUAAACACUGUUCUUUAGUAGUCCAUCUCAUACAUAAAGCACUUUCAGUGGCAAACCCUGUUUUAAAAUA